GGUGCCCCCAUUGCUUUAUUAAAACAUCAAUCCUGCAGCCUUCAACUAAAAUACAACAACUUACAUAAAAUUAAUUUGUGGUCAAUUGUCUUGACUUUGAGCAUAUCUAUGACUUUGAGCUAACUAAAAGCAUCUAAGUGCAUUAAUAUAAAGGAAUAAAAUAUUUCAGACAUAGUGUAAACAGAGUGACAGGUAAAAGAUGUAAAUGACUGAAGUCAUUUUUCUGUGUAUACUGUAGGAACUUCAAACGAGCUAUCAUACAGCUAUUAUAAUUAUUUUACUUGUGUAAAAACAAGACGAACUGUCAGCUCCCAUCCUCGCUUGACCAUGGCCUUAAGACUCAGCUGACUGUUCGUCUCGACAGAUGAAUGAAAAAUUUUUCAGUUUCACAUCUUUCACCAAAAGCUAUAUUACAUCGUGAGUGCACUGUGUAUUAACAUAACUCAUAAGUACAUUUCUUUUUUAUAAUAUUGUUUUAUAUAUAUUUAUAUAUGUGACGUAAUAAUUUUAUAUAAUCUAGAUUAUAUAUAUCCGCUAUAUAUAUAUGUAUUUAACGAGGAGGCACCCAUACCCUCGAUACUUUGUGCCCUCUACGAUAUGUGCACCCGGGGUUGGUGAAAGGUUGUUUGCAUAGAGUGCAUUGCAUGCUGGGAUACAUAUAUGUUUUACAACCCCGUGUUGUUUGUAUUAUUGGCUAAAAUGAAGUAACGGUGUAACAAAAUGCUAGGACUGGACAGAGUUUUGAUCAAGUCCAAGGACUGAAUGAAGUUUUGAUCAAGUCCUAGAACUGGAUGAAGUUUUGAUCAAGUCCUAGGACUGGAUGAAGUUUUGAUCAAGUCCUAGAACUGGAUGAAGUAUUGAUCAAAUCCUAGGACUGGAUGAAGUUUUGAUCAAGUCCUAGGACUGGAUGAAGUAUUGAUCAAAUCCUAGGACUGGAUGAAGUUUUGAUCAAGUCCUAGGACUGGAUGAAGUUUUGAUCAAGUCCUAGGACUGGAUGAAGUUUGAUCAAGUCCUAGGACUGGAUGAAGUUUUGAUCAAGUGCUAGGACUGGAUGAAGUUUGAUCAAGUCCUAGGACUGGA
Paramuricea clavata is the source of this 1080-nucleotide non-coding RNA. NCBI's taxonomy places the organism in Eukaryota, Metazoa, Cnidaria, Anthozoa, Malacalcyonacea, Plexauridae. The record is from the annotation of a GenBank genome assembly.